Molecule: long non-coding RNA, 611 nt
Organism: Saccostrea cuccullata (small rock oyster)
Lineage: Eukaryota; Metazoa; Mollusca; Bivalvia; Ostreida; Ostreidae
Exons: 2
Source: RefSeq, a predicted model, not a curated record
GUACCUCAACAACAAUUUCAUAACUGUAUUAGACAAAUCUGUUUUCAUGGGAUUGCAGAAUUUACAGACACUAUCAAUAGAUUACAAUCCUCUGCAUUGCGACUGCAUCAUGGCCGAUUUUAUUAAGUUUUCCAAAUCAAGAAAUUUGACAUUGAAACUUUUCGAUGAACCGAGCUGUUCAUAUCCCAGUUAUUUUAUUGGAGUAUUGCUACGGGACCUCUCAUUGGAAGAAAUGGAUUGUGAUCUCACUACAACCUCAACAACAGCACUGGAAACAUCAGGUAGAAUAAUUGUUUUCAACUAAAUUAAUUGUGCAUCCUCACAGAUCUCAUAUAUAGGACAUAUCUUUGGAGUUUAAUGAAGUUAAAAGCUCUGAUAGGUAUCCGAGGUGAAGUUUAAUUUUCGUUAAAAGGCAAGGAAGCUAGUGAAACGAAUACAUUAUCUAAAAUUUACUACUGUAAACCAACUUUUAUUCGCGACGACUUUAUUUCGCGAUUUACUAGGGAUGAACUUGUUCGCGACGAUAAAUUUUCACGAUCAAGCCUUUUUGGAUCUGUAGUUAAUAGACAAAUACACUUUAAGAACCGCUUCGCGGCAAGAAAUAUUCGCGA